UCCUUCCAAGUGUUUAAUUUGACAACCCUGAAAGCAAUCAAUUGCGUGUCCAUGAUAUGGUUUUAUUGCUUUGUUUUACAAAAUCAAUUGUACAUGGAAGUUGUGGCAAAAGUCACAAAAAGCUAGGCACCAGGGGGGAUGAUGAGCAAACUGUGGCAUUCCAGGGAAAGCUGAUAUCAUUAGCAAGCCUCGGGGUCGGUUUCGAAACCAUCUUUUGCAGUCGACUCAGACUCCUCACAGAGUGAAGGCAGUGAUGUGGGAGAGAAUGGCUUGGUAGCUUUUGUUGGGGUAGCUCGGUUUCUAUGUUGGCCUGCAAGUCUCUCAAGGAAUAUUACCUGAGCUUCAAUCUUAAUCUUCAAGUUCCUUUGAGCCUUCAAACAUAAACCCCUCUAGAAAUUGUUAAAACUAGCUACAUCCCUGAAGGGCUAUACCUUUCUUCUUUGUGGAAAAACUAAAACGAAGAGAAUCUAAUUUUCCGUAUGUUUACCUCGA
This is a non-coding RNA of Theobroma cacao (cacao), 492 nucleotides long. The record is from RefSeq and is a predicted model, not a curated record. NCBI's taxonomy places the organism in Eukaryota, Viridiplantae, Streptophyta, Magnoliopsida, Malvales, Malvaceae.